This 1159-nucleotide long non-coding RNA is filed under the name Heterocephalus glaber (naked mole-rat). RNAcentral describes it as "lncRNA (ENSHGLG00000049478.1)". Lineage: Eukaryota; Metazoa; Chordata; Mammalia; Rodentia; Bathyergidae. The record is from RNAcentral.
GUGAUCUAAGGCAACAGGAGCUGCCUCUGGUGUUUAUCGACUGUUUCUAGCUGGAGGCACAGAAAUACACAGGCACUAAAGGGUGAGUUACUGUUGGUUGCUGCUCUCUGGACCAGCAGGGACUUGGCAAGCUCUUGGAGGACAGAGUGUCUUGCAUCAAUCAGUAGUGACCCCUCUGGCUGAAUAUGUACAGGCAUAAAGAGGCUCCUAAAUUAGCCUCUGUUCUCCUUCGCAGGAUGGAUGGAGGAUGAAAAGCAGAAUCUGGAACAGGAGGAAACAUGUGUAACAGAGCAUUGAGCUGUACUCUGAAAAAUCCAGCCAACCCUUUCUGCUCAAAACCAAUCUUAGAUGUCUCCCAUUUAUGAGGGCCUAUUAAAAAAAAUAUAUAUAUAUAUAGUUGAUGUGUAGGAAGUGAGAAAGGGAAUGGAAGAAAUGAGAAGAGGAGAAUAGACAGCAAAAAAUAAAAUGUGCAACUACUUGCUUGGGGAGGACAUUGAAUCUUGCUCCAGAUGGGUCUGUUAUAUAACCACAACCAGGAAUAUGGAGUUAUCCCAGAGCUGACUGGGCCAGAAAACAUGGAUAACACAAUGCAAAUCUGACCCUAUUGCUGCCGGAGUGAAUCCAGAAGCCCUAAUAUACCCUGAUCAUGCACAGACAGAGAGAAGGUUGAACAAAAACUGUAUGAAACCUGUGCAAAGGGAAAUAACUGAAUCUUCAACACUGAAAGGCUAAGAGGUCUUCCUCCAGUUAUUAAAGGAGUGAAAAUUGUUGAACUCUAUAGGCAUUUAAUUUGUCAUUAAGUUCAGUAGUACUACAGUGCUGGAGGUGCCUGGAGAGAGUGGAAGAUCUGCCCACCACAGCCUGUCUCAGGCCUGCUGGUGACCAUCCAUGCAUAUCACCACCCAGAAGCUCCUCAUUCUUACCUGUCAGGCAGACAGGACCUCCCAUUGCCUCCUCUACAUUCCUGUCCUUUUUUGAAGCAUUAUGGUCCUUGUGUGAAGCUGGGAAUGGGGAAGUUCAAGAGACCACCUGCAAAAAGGACUGUGCAAAGCAUCUUCUCAAUAACCUUGCCAACUCCCUGCAGCUGCCACAGGUCACCAAGUUAUCUGAGGGGUUUGGUCCCCAGACCUUCCUAACCCAUCCACAAGACUCAGCCCAG